Numida meleagris (helmeted guineafowl) is the source of this 2734-nucleotide long non-coding RNA. RefSeq lists it as uncharacterized. The record is from RefSeq and is a predicted model, not a curated record. Lineage: Eukaryota; Metazoa; Chordata; Aves; Galliformes; Numididae. The transcript is spliced from 3 exons.
UUUUCUUACACGCUAGCUUAUUUCUUAAUAUUUUGGAAUCCAUUGCUGUGUGCGUUGUGUGUUCCCAAGGGAGCUGAACACAAGCUACAAGCUUUGGAUAACUUUCAGUUCUGUUCAAUUUUAUCAUCUCUUGGACUCUCUCUUGGACUUCUUCUCAGUGGCUGGCAGCUAUGUGUAUCUAAGACUUGAAUCAUACACUGACAUCUGUCUGAAAUAAUGGCAAGACUUGCAAUUUUCAGUGGAUAUUAGAGGUAGAAUUGCCCAAACAAUUGCCAAAAGUCUUCACCCAGUUUCCAGAAAAGUCUUAAGCGUGGUGAAAUCUAAGCCCUGUGAAUUGCCAGGAGAUUUAGAUCAGUGGCUGAAGAAGUUCAUGAAAUCACUGCCUGCAGGGCAGGGGCAGCAGAUGGGAAUGGUGCUUUGGCCAAGGCUGUUCUGGAGAGAAAUCUGGUGGUUUAGAUUGACCCCUACUAAAAGUGAAUCAAAUGUGAAAUUGAAAGUCAAGUUGGCUUGGGGAGUGAGGGAAUAAAGUCAUUGGGUAAGGAGCUGGAACAAGGAACAGCUGUCAGAGAAUGGAAGUUAAAGAAUGGUUUGAGAGAGAACAGAGGCAAGGUGGAGAAGCUGAGCAGUGAAGGAGAAAAGGUGAAAGUGAAUGGACAAAAUCCCUUCUAGCCACAAUCAAGAAGAAUAUAGAAGUUGGGCUAUAACUGGAGAUUCAGGAAUCUCCAGUGCUCCUUGGCUGCAUAGCCAUUUGCUAAAAUGCUUGAUGGUUCUUUCUCUAAGUAACUGUUACCAGAAAAGAUUGCUAUCUGCAGCAGCUGUUAGCCACCAGUCUUACCUUAUGCAAUCCUGGUACGUUUCAAACUGCUGCUGUUGAACCAUGCAAGAGGCAACUUGUGUCACAUCAUUGAGACAGAGAAGAAACUGCUCUUCUAAUUCAAUCUUUUAAAGAAAACAAAACAAACAAAACCACCAACAACAAAAAAGCACACCGAAGUAUUCUCUUUGGAGAAUGUGAUUAAGGUUGCAAUUCAAGUGGACUAGAGACCAUCUGGGCAACUUCCCUCAGCUCCCUGGCAUCAAAUCUUGAUGAGAUGACCUGAAAGCUGUGUCUUGUGGGGCAGGAGCAACGCAGUCAUGCUCAGCUGAAUCUUGUUCUGGAAAGCUGUAUCUUUUUUGUGUCUCAUAGACAGAAUUAUGCUGCCAGGUCCCUUCAGCUAUAAUUUUCAGAAAAGGUCAUUUCUAACUUCUUCACUCAGCGCUCAGCUUGAGUCGCAGUUCUGAUUUGGUGAACCCAGCAGCCCUGAUGGCUCUGACUGGAGAUAACAGAGGUCUGUGCUUACCUCAGCACAGCUCAUCUCUGCUCGUGCCUGUUAUGGGAUGUCACAGAACUGUUACAUACUGCUAUGCGUUCUAAAAACUGGGAGUUGCGAAGUCUCAUGUCAGGAUCUUAAAAUUACUGGAAAUAGUUUGUUAAUAUCUCUGUGUCUCAUCUGAAAAUGGUGACAGUGCUGCCUUUUCCUCAAAGAGGUAUAGGUAAAAUAUUUUGGAAAUCACUUGGAUACUUCUGGAAAGGUAUCUCGAAACAGAGAACGGUUUUGAAUGGUGUUCUGUAAAUAAAGCCUGGAAUUCAUAUGCAGGGACCAUGCUGGGCUUCCCUGUGCCUCUGCUGGUGGGACAUUCAACUGGUCCUGCCACCCAGUGUGCAGCUGCGCAGCAUACAAGCAGCAGGGCUGUGAUGCCAUGCUCCUAUCUCCUCAGCAGCAUUUAGCAUUGCAAAAUGGAUUAGCUGAAAAGUGUCGGUACUGGAACAUACCCAUGACUUGGUCUCCAGUGUGGUGCUGAUGAGGGGAAUCAGAUGGACCAAGGGGACUGUAGCAUCACCUACUUUGCUGUGGACGGUGUAGUUGGAAACAAGGCUCCACAGCUGCACAAAGCACCUGAAUACACAGAACACAUCAGGGUUGGAGCAGCAGAGCCGUGCAUCGGUGUCUUACCAGCAGACAAACGCCAGUAGGAAUGGGGAUACACCCUGCCCUUUGUGAUGUAGAGUGCAUUUGGAGUGGUGAAUUUUGCAUCUAGGUGACCAUAUCAAUACUUCUAAGACCAAGAUAAGCUGGCUGUUGCAGAGCUAAUCAGAUAGAAGGACUGGGCAUUAGGAGAUCAUCUGAGUCCGAAGACGUUAAAGGAACCCUGGAUUAGUGGCUCUGGAACUGAAGAUUUACAAAGUGACUGUGAGGAAAAUGAUUUGGCUUGAAAAGCCCAGAAGGGCCUGGGUAAUCCUUCAGCUGAAACACUGAAUUUCUUUGUGCAACAGACAGAGCACGAGGCUGGGAGCCCCAAAUGCCAGAGACUGGCUCUUGAAUGUUAGAAAUGGAUAUGGAUUAGUUGAGGGAACUCCUUGUUUCUGUUCUGAAGUGUAAACCCAGCCAUCAAACUGCUGUUUCUCCAGUUCAAAAACAUUUAGACAGAAGCAAACCCCACAAAACACUCACAUCCAAGUUGCUCUGCUUUGCUGUGCAACACAGAGGGUGGGAUUUAGUGUCAGGUAAAGGAAGGGAUUCCUCUUCUGAAUGAAUGGCCUAGCUGUGCCCCACUGCAGUGUCUGUUGUGUUAUUCUGAUGCGGCCUGUUUACUUACUUUCACCAUGACUGCCCAGAAAUCCCAUGGCAAGCAAUGUCAGAACAUUUGCCAAAUCACUACUUCACCCAUUGAGCUGAUUGUUUCAUGUUAUUUG